GAUCUCCUUCUGAUAGACGUUCUAUAUCUGGAUAUUGUGUCUUAGUAGGAGGAAAUUUAGUGUCAUGGAAGAGCAAGAAACAGAAUGUGACUGCUCGGUCUAGUGCAGAAGCAGAAUAUCGAGCGAUUGCAAUGGUAACAUGUGAGCUAAUUUGGAUCAAACAACUGCUCAAGGAGUUAGAAAUUUGGUGAGAUUAGUUAGAUAGGACUUGUGUGUGAUAAUCAAGUUGUUCUUCAUAUUGCAUCAAAUCCAGUGUUCCAUGAGAGAACUAAACAUAUUGAGAUUGACUGUCACUUUGUUAGAGAAAAGAUACUCUCGGGAGAUAUCCAGUGUUCCAUGAGAGAACUAAACACAUUGACAUUGACUGUCACUUUGUUAGAGAAAAGAUACUCUAGGGAGAUAUUGCUACAAAGUUUGUAAUCUCGAAAGAUCAGCUUACAGAUAUUUUCACCAAGUCCCUCACUGGUCCUCGUAUUAACUACAUAUGUAACAAGGUCAAUACAUAUGAUUUGUACCAGCUUAAGGGGCAGUGUUAGAAUAAUAGUGUAAAUAAGAGUGAAUAACCCUAAUCCAAUAUGUAUUAGGAGUAGGAUAUGUAAUGUGUGUACAUAUAGGGCUCAAUGUAGCAUUGUAAAUAAUAUAUCAAUAAUAUUUUUCUCCUGCGCGUUCUCAUAUAAUUUAUAAAGCAUUUAUUAAUGAGUUUCUGGACAAACACGAUUGGAAUACAUUUCCCUAUUGACAUGACUUUUAUGUGUAUAAAAUGAGUCUUAAAUCAUGAUAUCUACAUAGGAACUGGACUACUAAUUUUUAAACAGAAAUGAC
Molecule: long non-coding RNA, 822 nt
Filed under: Nicotiana benthamiana
Lineage: Eukaryota; Viridiplantae; Streptophyta; Magnoliopsida; Solanales; Solanaceae
Description: long non-coding RNA (NBEN_LNC039478)
Source: RNAcentral